This 267-nucleotide long non-coding RNA is filed under the name Olea europaea subsp. europaea. The record is from RNAcentral. Lineage: Eukaryota; Viridiplantae; Streptophyta; Magnoliopsida; Lamiales; Oleaceae.
AUGGCAUGUAGAUCUAGUUGAUGUUAUGAGAUUCAUCAUCUCCUAUGAUGGUACAUUUGUCAACAUUGACGACGAGUGGAAGUGGUUAGGCAACCGAACAACAUCAAUUGUUGUUCGACGUGAUAUUGAAUAUGAAGAGCUUGUACAUAAAUUAUUUGAGAAGCUCAAUAUUGACAGACUGCAGUUUCGGAUGCAACUAAAAUUUAAAGUUCCAAACAUGAACGUACCCCCUACUGAUGUAGUCGACAAUGAGGCUUUGCAAUGGGA